RNAcentral lists this ribosomal RNA (229 nucleotides) under Histophilus somni. RNAcentral describes it as "partial 16S ribosomal RNA". It matches the Rfam family "Bacterial small subunit ribosomal RNA", at positions 259 to 480 of the family's 1533-position model. Lineage: Bacteria; Pseudomonadati; Pseudomonadota; Gammaproteobacteria; Pasteurellales; Pasteurellaceae. The record is from RNAcentral.
AAGGGCUGACCAAGCUGACGAUCUCUAGCAAGUCUGAGGGGAUGGCCAGCCUCAAUGGAACUGAGACACGGUCCGGACUCCUACGGGAGGCAGCAGUGGGGAAUAUUGCGCAUUGGGGGGAGCCCUGACGCAGCCAUGCCGCGUGAAUGAAGAAGGACUUCGGGUUGGAAAGUUCUUUCGGUGAUGAGGAAUGCGAUUAGUUUAAGAGAUUAAUUGAUUGACGAUAAUC